Molecule: long non-coding RNA, 5586 nt
Filed under: Capsicum annuum
Lineage: Eukaryota; Viridiplantae; Streptophyta; Magnoliopsida; Solanales; Solanaceae
Description: long non-coding RNA (CANN_LNC014944)
Source: RNAcentral
AUGAAUUAUAUCAUAUCGAACCAUGAAAUUACCUAUCACGAAUCUCCAAUAUUGAUAGUGUUAACUCAUAAAUAUGAACUUAUUACGGUUAACUCUUAGUAUGAGCCUAAAGUGGCUAUGCAUAAUUAUGAGCUUAAAAAGGGAAAACCACGAGCAUGAGCCUUAAAAGGCUAAAAUAUGAACAUGAAAGUAACAAGACAAACUUUUUGAUCAAUAACUAAUCAGAUAAACAAGACAACGUCAUGAGCAUAAGAGAGUUAGUUAGCUGACCGUGAAGGCAUAGGUUGAAAUGGCUAAUGCCCAAAACUAUGUUUGCCGACAUAGGAUAGAGAUCAUUCCGCAAGUCGGAUACUCUCUUUUCUUUCAUGUGUCCCGAAAAGUGGCUAACCAUGGAUACUUGCUAGCAAAUUAUGUCAUGUCACAUCCUAUGCCCGGCAAGGUAUUGGAUGGCUUAGCUGAUCGGGCCGAGAUCAGACUCCAUGCGCUCACAUGGUGGUUUAUAAUGGUUCACUACUUUCUGCACAAAUAAUCAAAGGAAUUAAGCCCACUUUACUUGGUCAAUUAUAAAUUUACCUUAUAUUGUUGUUCCUUUCCAUUUGACUUCUUUUACGUUUGAAUUUUAUUGUCAUUUCUAACCUCUUGAUGUACUACCCUCCUGAAAUGGUUUUGCAUACCAAUACAUUCCAUGUAUUAACCGUCUUUGGCGCUAUAUAAUUUCAUGACGUAGGUUCUGGCUCUCAUGUCCGUGGUCAGGUGCCCCAUUAGGACCUCUAUCUUUUGCUAUUGGUGAGCCUCUUUCCUAUCAGGAGGUUAGACGGGAUAUGAUGACUUCAUUAUAUUUUCUUUCCUUUUUGUAUUGGUACUAUUUAAAGGCUUCACAGACUGAUUUAGUUGCCUAGCAGAUCUUGUAAUUUUUAGUAUUAUUUGUCAUGACUAUUGUAUCUUCAAACGUUGAGUGAGACUUUAUCCCUUAAGAACUCCUAUUUCUGUUUCCUCUCUAUUCAUUAUGUCAUUUGUAUGCUCAUGUGCUUUGCCAAAACAUUCGCUCGUACUAGAAAUAGUAUCGGGUGCAUGUCCCGUCCAGGACCUCGGCUUGGGGCAUGACAAACUUGGUAUCAGAGCCCAGAGUUCAAGUGUCCUAGGGUGUCUGUGAUGCCGUGUUUAGUAGUAUCCAUUUUAUGGGUGUGAAGCGCACCACACUUGUAACGGGGGAGCCUACGAGACAUUUAGGAUACAUUUCCCCUUCUUUCAUACUCUAGAUCGUGUAAAGAUAUGUUCUUAAAAAUCUUACUCAGAUUCAUGUGUUACUCAAAUUUCUCUGUCUAUGCCUCAUCUUCGAGGCGAUUCAUAUCUUUAUGGUGCUCUUAGAUACAUCUACAAAAAAUCCCGGGACUUCACCUGGCUAGAGGGGAGCCCACUAUUGUGUUUAAGUUCUUCAUUUUGAAAGAAUGUACUUUUGUUCAUAUGAAUCAUGCAUUUAAUCCUAUAGUAAUAUGUUCUGUCACUCUCGUACCUUGUUACCAAUUACACUUUUAAAUGAGAAAGUAUGCAUCCCAAUUCUUGAGGAGUGUUUUCAUCCAAAAUAUAAUGUGAUUUAGGGUGUUGUGGGUCGUAAAUUCUAGAAUGACUGUAGGGCUAGAAAUAUGAAGUCAUAAGUUAAAUGCCAAAAAGUGGGAAUAGUGAUUGAUUGGAGUAUGUUGCUAAGGUCAUGUAUCCAGUAGUAGAGUAAUGUGGUGGAAUGAUAUGCCCUUUGAUGAUUGAGGAAGGUGUAGCAAGAAUUGUGAAAAAUGUUUUCGUAUUAAAUUGAGCAAUAAUGGUGGAUUAAGGUGAUUUAGAGUAAGUUUGAACUAGGAAAGAAGUUUAUGAUGGCAUGCCAUUAUGUUAAAAAAGUUCAAGAAUAAGUUGCGAAUGGGAGGAUAGAGUGGUUAAGAGUUGACAGACCUAGGCUGCACAUUGUGAUUUUGAAAAAGGAACUCUCUAUUUUACGGAGUAAUGAUUGUAAUUUAGGCAGGUAAUGGAUAAGUAGUUGUAGUGUUAAAGGAGAAUGCACUUGUAAUCUGCAAUUAGGCCGAUCAAGAAAUUAAGAUCGAUUGUUUUGUCACGUACUUUCAAUGGACUAGUAUUCGUUUUAUUUUUUUUAUAGCUAUGAAUCUGUGUAGUAUGUGAGAAGUUGUGUUGUUGUCCAUGACUAGUAAUAGACGCUAUGUUGGAGUUGUGAAUGAUUGUCGUGCUGGAACAAAUGGUAGUUCGGGGGCGAUAAUGCUAGUUUUAUGGAAUUCAUCUACUAGUCUUAGCAUUUAUGAUGAUUAGCUUGCAAAAAGUGUUUAUGAUGACUAGUUUGACAAAAGUGUGAAGUUUCAAUUAUGAUAUAUAUGUGACCCCUAGGUGAGAUAGUAAAUUGUUGCGAAGCCAAAAAAAAAAAAGGGUCCUUAAGGUUUAUUAAGAAAAUAGUGCACACAAGUAGUAUGUUAUUACAUGAGAUUCUGAGGAUAGGUAUGUAUUAUAUGGUGCCCCUGAGGGCUGAAUUAAAGGGACUAUAGAUAGACGAUGUUGAAGUCCCUUAGCGUAGUUUUAAUCCCAUUGAGUUGGGUGAACAUGAAUUUAGAGACGUGAUUCUAAUAGACUAAUAAGAGAGAGCCAAAUUGGUAUGUGUCGAAGUGAUUAUAUACAUCAAUAGGAGAAAGAGUUAUAGAAUGAUGACCGUAGAGGAAAGAUAAAGUUUAAGGGAAGUAGCUUAAACAAAGGGUUCUAGCAUCGGUUUUCUAUCUACAAAUAUAGUCUAACAGGGAAAGUUUAAGCAUUCUUGUGUAUAGUAAUACCCCAAUUGUGCAGAGUGUUGUGCUUACAUCUCAAAUAAGAAGAUAGGUCCGUACCUAGAAUAUUGAUCUUUGAGCUAAGGAGGAGAUGAGAAGGUGUUGAACCAAUCUGGGUCUUGAGCUUCAGGGAGUGAUGUCCCAAAAACAGAAAAGAUGAGACACAUCUAUCCAUUCCUAUAUCAACAUGUUCCUUGUACUUCAAUCAAAAUGACACUCUGCUCCUGUCUUGCAUACUAGCAUCAUUCCCUUGACUGAGGUUUAUGCUCUUCAUACUGAUUCACAUCCAUACUCUGUUCCUAGAAUGAAAGUAAUAGCUUCACUCAAUGUUACCAGACUUACUCCAUGAAUCCAUGAAUUCCAGUAUACCCAGCCCUAUGAACUCACACUUAAUGAUAAAUUUCGAACUCAUGUUAUGUCAUUAUCUAUGUCUUGGAUAACUAUCCAGUCGUGCUUUAUGUAAUUAGUAUAUGAAUUAUCCGUGCCUAAUAUGUACCACGAGGUUAGUCUUGAACAUAAUAGGGAAACAACAUGUUAAUAGACGCAGACUCCAGUAAUAUAUUAAUAUGGAUAUUAUAAGUUGACAAUGAUGGUGUGUGGUAUUCAGAGGAGAAAACAUAGUGAGAAGUGUUGCUAAGCUUAAAGGUUAUCAGUCAUAUCGUCUAUGGAGAAAAUACUCCUCCAACUAUGUUCAACACAUCCUUCAUUCUUGUCAUGUAACUUUAGAUUGUGUGGAAUCUACAUUUAAGCCACGCUACUAUAUAGUUCUGCCUGUAUAUGUGUCUUUCGAUUCUACAAACUCGUGCUUCAUGUCCUUAGUGUGAUAAUUCUUGUAUUUAUAACUCGUGCUUCGGAAUUCCCCGGUAGUUGGUUGUCAAACCCUUUUCAUUAUUACAGCUCAGUCAUAUUGAAGAGUACAGUCUAGCAGACGAUUGUAAAUAGUUUCAACUCAUGAACUUUCUUCUAGCCAAGACCUUCAUUCGAGGACGAAUGACCCGAAGGGGGAGAUAUUGUAACAUCUCAGGCCAAUUGUUGUGUGAGGUAUUUCAAGGGUAAUUUUAUCUUUUCGUUUUGCAAUUUAUUUCAUGAAAUUAAACCCCUCUGAAGUUAUCAGUUACAAGAGUUAUUUCUCUCAAUGGAACAUUAAUUUAUCUCAGCCAGAUACACCUCUCUACUUCCAGUAGUUACAUGCUUUAAACCAGUCACUCUAUUUUCCACCGUUUCAUACAAUAAAAAGCCUCACUUCUCCAUCAGUUUUGAGAAAUUUUCCAUUAGAAUAUAUCUCUAUUUUUCCUCUCAAUCACAACUCCUAAGAAACACAAAUUGGUGAGAAUCAUGUUGGAAUUUCUUCUUCCAAUAUCAAAGUUCUUUCAACGUUUAAGAGGUAUAUUGGAACAUUCCUUACUCUCAUUUUUGGAUGUUGUACUGUUAUCGAAUUCAAAUUUCUCUAAAACUAUUUAGGUUUUAAAGGAAAUUCUUCAAUCUUAUCAAUGAACUUGAAUGGUUUAAUAGUUUUUGGACGUGUAAAGAUAACUCUCAGUUUCAUGUUCUUCCUUUCUGAAUUUUGUGAGUUUCAACGAGCCUAGGGAUUUGAUGUACGAAUCAUAGAUGUUUUUGGUAAUAACUGUGAAAGAUUUACGAUCCACAAAGUCAAGCGAUUACACCUAGAGAACACCCCAUUAUUUAAAAGAAGUGAGAGAGAACUAAUUACAUAAUCUGUUGAUCAAAGAUGACCUCUCCUAGUUUUUUUUGAAUUUCCAAACAUAUCUACUCUUUCUUUAACUUCAUUGCGAGAUUGUAUAUCCAUCUAUAACAUGGUUUCUACACACGGUUCACUUUUCAGAAGUCCUUAUCUCAUACACCAGUGUCGCAGCCUUGAAGCUGCAAUAUGCUUCAUUACUUUCUUUUCCAACUGCAUAAUUACUAAACAACAACCAGUACAGACUACUCCUUCUCCCGCUGUAACGUUCAGACAACAACAAAAAAAAGAACAUACUGUUACAUUGCUAAUUCAAAUAUAUCCUACUCUAUUAUUAAGUAAAUAUAUUACACAGUAUGGAAGAGCAGCAUUCUCUUUAAGGUAUUCUCUUUAAGCCGUUCAAGGAAGCGUGCCAUUCGGCCACUACUCUAUCUCUAUAAACACCAAUAACAAUUUCUUGGCAGACUCUGUCACAGUGGAAAUGACCAGCCUGUAAAUUGAUAUUUUUCCUCACCAUAUGACAACAUACGCCACCAUCAUAAACCCGCAGCAAACUACUGCACCUCUGCUGCAUUAUCUUAGCCCAAUCUUCCAUGUCAAAAUGUCAAAAUCUCAGCUAUGCCAUCAUGUGAACGUUUCUAUUAAAGUUAUAAGAUAUAAUUUAUGAAACUCUUAAAAGUAUAAUUCUUGUUCCAUAAUCCAUAAGAAGAUAACCUUCCCGCAACAUUCGUAAAACUCUUUGCACUGUGAUGUAUACGUUAUGAAUUUGCAAGUCUUAAUAUAAUAAUACCUACUUCCCGGGAAUCCCUCAUUGACCUAAUAGAUAAUAAUAUGAACAUGAAUAUUCUUACAAGAAUGCUUCCAAUCAUGUGCAUGAAUUAUAUCAUAACGAACCAUGAAAUUACCUAUCAUGACUCUCCAAUAUUGAUAGUGUUAACUCAUGAAUAUGAACCUAUUACUGUUAACUCUCAGUAUGAGCCCAAAGUGGCUAUACAUAAUUAUGAGCUUAAAAAAGGUAAACCACAAGCAUGAGCCUAAAAAGGCUAAAAUAUUAACAUGAACGUAACAAGACGA